UCCCAUGUGGCUCAGUUGGUAAAGCAUGGUGUUUGCAACGCCAGGGUUGUGGGUUCGAUUCCCACGGGGGAC
RNAcentral lists this transfer RNA (72 nucleotides) under Salmo salar (Atlantic salmon). It matches the Rfam family "tRNA". Rfam says of the family: Transfer RNA (tRNA) molecules are approximately 80 nucleotides in length. Their secondary structure includes four short double-helical elements and three loops (D, anti-codon, and T loops). RNAcentral also lists the same sequence under 1 other name. Lineage: Eukaryota; Metazoa; Chordata; Actinopteri; Salmoniformes; Salmonidae. The record is from Rfam by way of RNAcentral.